UGUAAUUGCUCAGGUGUGUUUAAUUGCCUUCUUAAUGCAGGUAUAAGAGAGCUCUGAGCACCUGGUGUUUCCUCCAGUCUUUCCAUCAGCUUUGGAAACUCUUAUUGCUGUUUUUCAACAUGAGGACCAAAGUUGUGCCAAUGAAAGUCAAAGAAGCCAUUAUGAGAUUGAGAAACAAGAAUAAACUUUUUAGAGACAUCAGCCAAACCUAGGGCUUACCAAAUCAACUGUUUGGAAC
Amblyraja radiata (thorny skate) is the source of this 238-nucleotide long non-coding RNA. RefSeq lists it as uncharacterized. The transcript has 3 exons. The record is from RefSeq and is a predicted model, not a curated record. NCBI's taxonomy places the organism in Eukaryota, Metazoa, Chordata, Chondrichthyes, Rajiformes, Rajidae.